AUUGAACGCUGGCGGCAUGCCUAACACAUGCAAGUCGAACGGUAACAGGCCUUCGGGCGCUGACGAGUGGCGGACGGGUGAGUAAUGCAUAGGAAAUUGCCUUGAAGUGGGGGAUAGCCCGGAGAAAUCCGGAUUAAUACCGCAUAUGCUCUACGGAGCAAAGUGGGCCUCUGAUUUAAGCUCAUGCUUUGAGAUAUGCCUAUGUCGGAUUAGCUUGUUGGUGGGGUAAAAGCCUACCAAGGCGACGAUCCGUAGCUGGUUUGAGAGGAUGAUCAGCCACACUGGGACUGAGACACGGCCCAGACUCCUACGGGAGGCAGCAGUGGGGAAUAUUGGACAAUGGGCGCAAGCCUGAUCCAGCAAUGCCGCGUGUGUGAAGAAGGCCUGCGGGUUGUAAAGCACUUUUAUCGGGAAAGAAAUCCUUAAGGUUAAUAACCUUGAGGC
RNAcentral lists this ribosomal RNA (444 nucleotides) under uncultured Oceanospirillales bacterium. RNAcentral describes it as "bacterial SSU rRNA". It matches the Rfam family "Bacterial small subunit ribosomal RNA", at positions 30 to 475 of the family's 1533-position model. Lineage: Bacteria; Pseudomonadati; Pseudomonadota; Gammaproteobacteria; Oceanospirillales. The record is from RNAcentral.